CGCCUCUUGAAUUCAUAAGAGGUCCAGCCUGCCCAGUGACCCUGUUCAACGGCCGCGGUAUCCUAACCGUGCGAAGGUAGCGUAAUCACUUGUUUUCUAAAUAAAGACUAGUAUGAAAGGCAUCACGAGGGUUUUGCUGUCUCCUUUUUCCAAUCAGUGAAUCUAAUCUCCCCGUGAAGAAGCGGGGAUUAAAAUAUAAGACGAGAAGACCCUGUGGAGCUUAAGACUUUAUAACACCUGCCUACUUCCUUCAACUUCUCCGGUCACUCUUCUAAUGGCAUUCUAAUUAUACCUCUUUGGUUGGGGUGACCGCGGAGGACAACUAACCCUCCACAAUGAAAGGGGAUUCCCCUAAGCAAUAAGUUACAACUUUAUGCAUCAAAAAACUGACAUAUUGACCCAAUAAAUUGAUUAAUGAACCAAGUUACCCCAGGGAUAACAGCACAAUCCGCUUUAAGAGCUCAUAUCGACAAGCGGGCUUAUGACCUCGAUGUUGGAUCGGGAUAUCCUAGUGGUGCAGCCGCUACUAAGGGUUCGUUUGUUCAACGAUUAAAACCC
This 558-nucleotide ribosomal RNA is filed under the name Pristimantis taeniatus (banded robber frog). RNAcentral's name for it is "partial 16S ribosomal RNA". It matches the Rfam family "Bacterial large subunit ribosomal RNA", at positions 1819 to 2596 of the family's 2925-position model. The record is from RNAcentral. Lineage: Eukaryota; Metazoa; Chordata; Amphibia; Anura; Strabomantidae.